This 85-nucleotide transfer RNA is filed under the name Lederbergia galactosidilytica. RNAcentral describes it as "Bacillus galactosidilyticus tRNA-Gln". It matches the Rfam family "tRNA". From Rfam's summary of the family: Transfer RNA (tRNA) molecules are approximately 80 nucleotides in length. Their secondary structure includes four short double-helical elements and three loops (D, anti-codon, and T loops). Lineage: Bacteria; Bacillati; Bacillota; Bacilli; Caryophanales; Bacillaceae. The record is from RNAcentral.
UGGGCUAUAGCCAAGUGGUAAGGCAACGGACUUUGACUCCGUCAUUCGUUGGUUCGAAUCGUUGGUUCGAAUCCAGCUAGCCCAG